ACCAAGGCGACGAUCAGUAGCGGGUCUGAGAGGAUGAUCCGCCACACUGGAACUGAGACACGGUCCAGACUCCUACGGGAGGCAGCAGUGGGGAAUUUUGGACAAUGGGGGCAACCCUGAUCCAGCCAUUCCGCGUGAGUGAAGAAGGCCUUCGGGUUGUAAAGCUCUUUCAGCCGGAACGAAACGGUACGCUCUAACAUAGCGUGCUAAUGACGGUACCGGCAGAAGAAGCACCGGCUAACUACGUGCCAGCAGCCGCGGUAAUACGUAGGGUGCGAGCGUUAAUCGGAAUUACUGGGCGUAAAGCGUGCGCAGGCGGAUUGUUAAGCAAGAUGUGAAAUCCCCGGGCUUAACCUGGGAAUGGCAUUUUGAACUGGCAGUCUAGAGUGUGUCAGAGGGGGGUGGAAUUCCACGUGUAGCAGUGAAAUGCGUAGAUAUGUGGAGGAACACCAAUGGCGAAGGCAGCCCCCUGGGAUAACACUGACGCUCAUGUACGAAAGCGUGGGUAGCAAACAGGAUUAGAUACCCUGGUAGUCCACGCCCUAAACGAUGUCAACUGGUUGUUGGGGGAGUGAAAUCCCUUAGUAACGAAGCUAACGCGUGAAGUUGACCGCCUGGGGAGUACGGUCGCAAGAUUAAAACUCAAAGGAAUUGACGGGGACCCGCACAAGCGGUGGAUGAUGUGGAUUAAUUCGAUGCAACGCGAAAAACCUUACCUACCCUUGACAUGUCCAGAACCCUGCAGAGAUGCGGGGGUGCCCGAAAGGGAAUUGGAACACAGGUGCUGCAUGGCUGUCGUCAGCUCGUGUCGUGAGAUGUUGGGUUAAGUCCCGCAACGAGCGCAACCCUUAUCAUUAGUUGCUACGCAAGGGCACUCUAAUGAGACUGCCGGUGACAAACCGGAGGAAGGUGGGGAUGACGUCAAGUCCUCAUGGCCCUUAUGGGUAGGGCUUCACACGUCAUACAAUGGUCGGUACAGAGGGUUGCCAAGCCGCGAGGUGGAGCCAAUCCCAGAAAGCCGAUCGUAGUCCGGAUUGUUCUCUGCAACUCGAGAGCAUGAAGUCGGAAUCGCUAGUAAUCGCGGAUCAGCAUGUCGCGGUGAAUACGUUCCCGGGUCUUGUACACACCGCCCGUCACACCAUGGGAGUGGAAUCUGCCAGAAGUAGGUAGCCUAACCGCAAGGAGGGCGCUUACCACGGUGGGUUUCAUGACUGGGGUGAAGUG
This 1224-nucleotide ribosomal RNA is filed under the name metagenome. RNAcentral's name for it is "bacterial SSU rRNA". It matches the Rfam family "Bacterial small subunit ribosomal RNA", at positions 267 to 1487 of the family's 1533-position model. The record is from RNAcentral.